UUCCGGGAUAGCUAGCCGAAAGGUUAGCUAAUACCAGAUACGCUCAUCGAGCGGCAUCGCUUGAUGAUGAAAGCAGCAAUGCGCGGAUUGAGGAGCCUGCGGCCCAUUAGCUAGUUGGUGAGGUAAUGGCCCACCAAGGCAACGAUGGGUAGCUGGUCUGAGAGGACGACCAGCCACACUGGGACUGAGACACGGCCCAG
RNAcentral lists this ribosomal RNA (200 nucleotides) under uncultured bacterium. RNAcentral's name for it is "partial 16S ribosomal RNA". It matches the Rfam family "Bacterial small subunit ribosomal RNA", at positions 136 to 334 of the family's 1533-position model. The record is from RNAcentral.